Molecule: ribosomal RNA, 2806 nt
Filed under: Klebsiella pneumoniae
Lineage: Bacteria; Pseudomonadati; Pseudomonadota; Gammaproteobacteria; Enterobacterales; Enterobacteriaceae
Description: bacterial LSU rRNA
Rfam family: Bacterial large subunit ribosomal RNA
Source: RNAcentral
UUAAGCGACUAAGCGUACACGGUGGAUGCCCUGGCAGUCAGAGGCGAUGAAGGACGUGCUAAUCUGCGAAAAGCGUCGGUAAGGUGAUAUGAACCGUUAUAACCGGCGAUGUCCGAAUGGGGAAACCCAGUGCAAUUCGUUGCACUAUCGUUAACUGAAUACAUAGGUUAACGAGGCGAACCGGGGGAACUGAAACAUCUAAGUACCCCGAGGAAAAGAAAUCAACCGAGAUUCCCCCAGUAGCGGCGAGCGAACGGGGAGCAGCCCAGAGUCUGAAUCAGCUUGUGUGUUAGUGGAACGGUCUGGAAAGUCCGACGGUACAGGGUGAUAGUCCCGUACACCAAAAUGCACAGGCUGUGAACUCGAAGAGUAGGGCGGGACACGUGGUAUCCUGUCUGAAUAUGGGGGGACCAUCCUCCAAGGCUAAAUACUCCUGACUGACCGAUAGUGAACCAGUACCGUGAGGGAAAGGCGAAAAGAACCCCGGCGAGGGGAGUGAAAAAGAACCUGAAACCGUGUACGUACAAGCAGUGGGAGCACCUUCGGGUGUGACUGCGUACCUUUUGUAUAAUGGGUCAGCGACUUAUAUUCUGUAGCAAGGUUAACCGUAUAGGGGAGCCGCAGGGAAACCGAGUCUUAACUGGGCGUUAAGUUGCAGGGUAUAGACCCGAAACCCGGUGAUCUAGCCAUGGGCAGGUUGAAGGUUGGGUAACACUAACUGGAGGACCGAACCGACUAAUGUUGAAAAAUUAGCGGAUGACUUGUGGCUGGGGGUGAAAGGCCAAUCAAACCGGGAGAUAGCUGGUUCUCCCCGAAAGCUAUUUAGGUAGCGCCUCGUGAACUCAUCUUCGGGGGUAGAGCACUGUUUCGGCUAGGGGGUCAUCCCGACUUACCAACCCGAUGCAAACUACGAAUACCGAAGAAUGUUAUCACGGGAGACACACGGCGGGUGCUAACGUCCGUCGUGAAGAGGGAAACAACCCAGACCGCCAGCUAAGGUCCCAAAGUCAUGGUUAAGUGGGAAACGAUGUGGGAAGGCACAGACAGCCAGGAUGUUGGCUUAGAAGCAGCCAUCAUUUAAAGAAAGCGUAAUAGCUCACUGGUCGAGUCGGCCUGCGCGGAAGAUGUAACGGGGCUAAACCAUGCACCGAAGCUGCGGCAGCGACACUAUGUGUUGUUGGGUAGGGGAGCGUUCUGUAAGCCUGCGAAGGUGUGCUGUGAGGCAUGCUGGAGGUAUCAGAAGUGCGAAUGCUGACAUAAGUAACGAUAAAGCGGGUGAAAAGCCCGCUCGCCGGAAGACCAAGGGUUCCUGUCCAACGUUAAUCGGGGCAGGGUGAGUCGACCCCUAAGGCGAGGCCGAAAGGCGUAGUCGAUGGGAAACAGGUUAAUAUUCCUGUACUUGGUGUUACUGCGAAGGGGGGACGGAGAAGGCUAUGUUAGCCGGGCGACGGUUGUCCCGGUUUAAGCAUGUAGGCUGAUUGUCCAGGCAAAUCCGGAUAAUCAAGGCUGAGGUGUGAUGACGAGGCACUACGGUGCUGAAGUAACAAAUGCCCUGCUUCCAGGAAAAGCCUCUAAGCAUCAGGUAACAUCAAAUCGUACCCCAAACCGACACAGGUGGUCAGGUAGAGAAUACCAAGGCGCUUGAGAGAACUCGGGUGAAGGAACUAGGCAAAAUGGUGCCGUAACUUCGGGAGAAGGCACGCUGGUGUGUAGGUGAAGUCCCUGCGGAUGGAGCUGAGACCAGUCGAAGAUACCAGCUGGCUGCAACUGUUUAUUAAAAACACAGCACUGUGCAAACACGAAAGUGGACGUAUACGGUGUGACGCCUGCCCGGUGCCGGAAGGUUAAUUGAUGGGGUUAUCCGUAAGGAGAAGCUCUUGAUCGAAGCCCCGGUAAACGGCGGCCGUAACUAUAACGGUCCUAAGGUAGCGAAAUUCCUUGUCGGGUAAGUUCCGACCUGCACGAAUGGCGUAAUGAUGGCCAGGCUGUCUCCACCCGAGACUCAGUGAAAUUGAACUCGCUGUGAAGAUGCAGUGUACCCGCGGCAAGACGGAAAGACCCCGUGAACCUUUACUAUAGCUUGACACUGAACAUUGAGCCUUGAUGUGUAGGAUAGGUGGGAGGCUUUGAAGCGUGGACGCCAGUCUGCGUGGAGCCAACCUUGAAAUACCACCCUUUAAUGUUUGAUGUUCUAACGUUGGCCCCUGACCGGGGUUGCGGACAGUGUCUGGUGGGUAGUUUGACUGGGGCGGUCUCCUCCCAAAGCGUAACGGAGGAGCACGAAGGUUAGCUAAUCCUGGUCGGACAUCAGGAGGUUAGUGCAAUGGCAUAAGCUAGCUUGACUGCGAGCGUGACGGCGCGAGCAGGUGCGAAAGCAGGUCAUAGUGAUCCGGUGGUUCUGAAUGGAAGGGCCAUCGCUCAACGGAUAAAAGGUACUCCGGGGAUAACAGGCUGAUACCGCCCAAGAGUUCAUAUCGACGGCGGUGUUUGGCACCUCGAUGUCGGCUCAUCACAUCCUGGGGCUGAAGUAGGUCCCAAGGGUAUGGCUGUUCGCCAUUUAAAGUGGUACGCGAGCUGGGUUUAGAACGUCGUGAGACAGUUCGGUCCCUAUCUGCCGUGGGCGCUGGAGAAUUGAGGGGGGCUGCUCCUAGUACGAGAGGACCGGAGUGGACGCAUCACUGGUGUUCGGGUUGUCAUGCCAAUGGCACUGCCCGGUAGCUAAAUGCGGAAGAGAUAAGUGCUGAAAGCAUCUAAGCACGAAACUUGCCCCGAGAUGAGUUCUCCCUGAGACUAUAAGUCUCCUGAA